CUACGAACUGCGUAMCMGGAAGNAGCUUGCURCUUUGCUGACGAGUGGCGGACGGGUGAGUCAUGUCUGGGAAACUGCCUGAUGGAGGGGGACAACUACUGGAAACGGUAGCUAAUACCGCAUAACGUCGCAAGACCAAAGAGGGGGACCUUCGGGCCUCUUGCCAUCGGAUGUGCCCAGAUGGGAUUAGCUUGUUGGUGGGGUAACGGCUCACCAAGGCGACGAUCCCUAGCUGGUCUGAGAGGAUGACCAGCCACACUGGAACUGAGCCAGGUUCAACACUUAUACGGGAGGCAGCAGUGGGGAAUAUUGCACAAUGGGCGCAAGCCUGAUGCAGCCAUGCCGCGUGUAUGAAGAAGGCCUUCGGGUUGUAAAGUACUUUCAGCGGGGAGGAAGGGAGUAAAGUUAAUACCUUUGCUCAUUGACGUUACCCGCAGAAGAAGCACCGGCUAACUCCGUGCCAGCAGCCGCGGUAAUACGGAGGGUGCAAGCGUUAAUCGGAAUUACUGGGCGUAAAGCGCACGCAGGCGGUUUGUUAAGUCAGAUGUGAAAUCCCCGGGCUCAACCUGGGAACUGCAUCUGAUACUGGCAAGCUUGAGUCUCGUAGAGGGGGGUAGAAUUCCAGGUGUAGCGGUGAAAUGCGUAGAGAUCUGGAGGAAUACCGGUGGCGAAGGCGGCCCCCUGGACGAAGACUGACGCUCAGGUGCGAAAGCGUGGGGAGCAAACAGGAUUAGAUACCCUGGUAGUCCACGCCGUAAACGAUGUCGACUUGGAGGUUGUGCCCUUGAGGCGUGGCUUCCGGAGCUAACGCGUUAAGUCGACCGCCUGGGGAGUACGGCCGCAAGGUUAAAACUCAAAUGAAUUGACGGGGGCCCGCACAAGCGGUGGAGCAUGUGGUUUAAUUCGAUGCAACGCGAAGAACCUUACCUGGUCUUGACAUCCACAGAACUUUCCAGAGAUGGAUUGGUGCCUUCGGGAACUGUGAGACAGGUGCUGCAUGGCUGUCGUCAGCUCGUGUUGUGAAAUGUUGGGUUAAGUCCCGCAACGAGCGCAACCCUUUAUCCUUUGUUGCCAGCGGUUCCGGCCGGGAACUCAAAGGAGACUGCCAGUGAUAAACUUGG
RNAcentral lists this ribosomal RNA (1121 nucleotides) under Escherichia coli. RNAcentral describes it as "bacterial SSU rRNA". It matches the Rfam family "Bacterial small subunit ribosomal RNA", at positions 64 to 1166 of the family's 1533-position model. The record is from RNAcentral. Lineage: Bacteria; Pseudomonadati; Pseudomonadota; Gammaproteobacteria; Enterobacterales; Enterobacteriaceae.